RNAcentral lists this ribosomal RNA (1125 nucleotides) under Klebsiella sp. NAP_L. Its description in RNAcentral is "bacterial SSU rRNA". It matches the Rfam family "Bacterial small subunit ribosomal RNA", at positions 34 to 1153 of the family's 1533-position model. The record is from RNAcentral. Lineage: Bacteria; Pseudomonadati; Pseudomonadota; Gammaproteobacteria; Enterobacterales; Enterobacteriaceae.
UGCCUGUUGUCGGCCUACCAUGCAAGUCGAGCGGUAGCACAGAGAGCUUGCUCUCGGGUGACGAGCGGCGGACGGGUGAGUAAUGUCUGGGAAACUGCCUGAUGGAGGGGGAUAACUACUGGAAACGGUAGCUAAUACCGCAUAACGUCGCAAGACCAAAGUGGGGGACCUUCGGGCCUCAUGCCAUCAGAUGUGCCCAGAUGGGAUUAGCUAGUAGGUGGGGUAACGGCUCACCUAGGCGACGAUCCCUAGCUGGUCUGAGAGGAUGACCAGCCACACUGGAACUGAGACACGGUCCAGACUCCUACGGGAGGCAGCAGUGGGGAAUAUUGCACAAUGGGCGCAAGCCUGAUGCAGCCAUGCCGCGUGUGUGAAGAAGGCCUUCGGGUUGUAAAGCACUUUCAGCGGGGAGGAAGGCGAUAAGGUUAAUAACCUUGUCGAUUGACGUUACCCGCAGAAGAAGCACCGGCUAACUCCGUGCCAGCAGCCGCGGUAAUACGGAGGGUGCAAGCGUUAAUCGGAAUUACUGGGCGUAAAGCGCACGCAGGCGGUCUGUCAAGUCGGAUGUGAAAUCCCCGGGCUCAACCUGGGAACUGCAUUCGAAACUGGCAGGCUAGAGUCUUGUAGAGGGGGGUAGAAUUCCAGGUGUAGCGGUGAAAUGCGUAGAGAUCUGGAGGAAUACCGGUGGCGAAGGCGGCCCCCUGGACAAAGACUGACGCUCAGGUGCGAAAGCGUGGGGAGCAAACAGGAUUAGAUACCCUGGUAGUCCACGCCGUAAACGAUGUCGAUUUGGAGGUUGUGCCCUUGAGGCGUGGCUUCCGGGAGCUAACGCGUUAAAUCGACCGCCUGGGGAGUACGGCCGCAAGGUUAAAACUCAAAUGAAUUGACGGGGGCCCGCACAAGCGGUGGAGCAUGUGGUUUAAUUCGAUGCAACGCGAAGAACCUUACCUGGUCUUGACAUCCACAGAACUUAGCAGAGAUGCUUUGGUGCCUUCGGGAACUGGUGAGACAGGUGCUGCAUGGCUGUCGUCAGCUCGUGUGUGAAAUGUGGGUUAGUCCCGCAACGAGCCGCAACCCUUAUCCUUUGUUGCCAGCGGUUAGGCCGGAUCUCUAAGGGAGACUGCC